AGGCGACACAUGUAUAUGCCUUA
RNAcentral lists this non-coding RNA (23 nucleotides) under Arabidopsis thaliana (thale cress). The record is from RNAcentral. Lineage: Eukaryota; Viridiplantae; Streptophyta; Magnoliopsida; Brassicales; Brassicaceae.